GGGUACUUGGUGUAACGGUAACACACGACUCUUGCAAAGUUGAGAUAGGGGUUCAACUCCCCUAGUUUCCA
This 71-nucleotide transfer RNA is filed under the name Microcoleus sp. FACHB-672. RNAcentral's name for it is "tRNA-Ala". It matches the Rfam family "tRNA". From Rfam's summary of the family: Transfer RNA (tRNA) molecules are approximately 80 nucleotides in length. Their secondary structure includes four short double-helical elements and three loops (D, anti-codon, and T loops). The record is from RNAcentral. Lineage: Bacteria; Bacillati; Cyanobacteriota; Cyanophyceae; Oscillatoriales; Microcoleaceae.